Molecule: ribosomal RNA, 1329 nt
Filed under: metagenome
Description: bacterial LSU rRNA
Rfam family: Bacterial large subunit ribosomal RNA
Source: RNAcentral
CCUAUUAGUAGAGAAGCGUGUGAGCCAGCUGCCAAGAAAAGCCGCUAUUGCUUCAUAAGUACCCGUACCGUAAACCGACACAGGUGGAUGAGGAGAGAAUCCUAAGGCCGGCGGGAGAAGUGUUGUUAAGGAACUCGGCAAAAUGACUCCGUAACUUCGGGAGAAGGAGUGCCACAGAGAUGUGGCCGCAGAGAAAUGGCCCAAGCAACUGUUUAGCAAAAACACAGGUCUAUGCAAAACCGAAAGGUGAGGUAUAUGGGCUGACGCCUGCCCGGUGCUGGAAGGUUAAGAGGAGAGGUUAGAGCAAUCGAAGCUUUGAAUUUAAGCCCCAGUAAACGGCGGCCGUAACAAUAACGGUCCUAAGGUAGCGAAAUUCCUUGUCGGGUAAGUUCCGGCCCGCACGAAAGGCGUAAUGAUUUGGGCACUGUCUCAACAACACACCCGGUGAAAUUGAAAUACCAGUGAAGAUGCUGGUUACCUGCGCCAGGACGGAAAGACCCCAUGGAGCUUUACUCCAGUUUGAUACUGGGAUUCGAUACUGUCUGUACAGGAUAGGUGGGAGGCUAGGAAAUGGUGACGCCAGUUGCCACGGAGCCAACCUUGGGAUACCACCCUUACAGUACUGGGUUUCUAACCUGCAGCCGUGACCCGGCUGGGGGACAAUGUCUGACGGGGAGUUUGACUGGGGCGGUCGCCUCCGAAAGAGUAUCGGAGGCGCUCAAAGGUUCCCUCAGAACGGUUGGAAACCGUUCGAAGAGUGCAAAGGCAGAAGGGAGCUUGACUGCGACACCGACGGGUGGAGCAGAUACGAAAGUAGGACUUAGUGAUCCGGUGGUAUAAAGUGGGAUUGCCAUCGCUCAACGGAUAAAAGCUACCCUGGGAUAACAGGCUUAUCACUCCCAAGAGUUCACAUCGACGGAGUGGUUUGGCACCUCGAUGUCGGCUCAUCGCAUCCUGGAGCUGUAGCAGGUUCCAAGGGUUGGGCUGUUCGCCCAUUAAAGCGGUACGCGAGCUGGGUUCAGAACGUCGUGAGACAGUUCGGUCCCUAUCCGGCGUGGGCGUAGGAUAUUUGAGAGGAGCUGUCCUUAGUACGAGAGGACCGGGAUGGACAAACCUCUGGUGUAUCUGUUGUUUUACCAAAGGCAUGGCAGAGUAGCCAAGUUUGGCAGGGAUAAACGCUGAAGGCAUCUAAGCGUGAAGCCCCCCUCAAGAUAAGAUAUCCCAUCUUCGGAGUAAGGCCUCUUGAAGACUACAAGGUUGAUAGGCUUCAGGUGUAAGUGUGGUAACGCACUCAGCUGAGAAGUACUAAUAGGUCGAGGACUUAUGAAG